Long non-coding RNA from Tetranychus urticae (two-spotted spider mite), 1453 nucleotides. RefSeq lists it as uncharacterized. The record is from RefSeq and is a predicted model, not a curated record. NCBI's taxonomy places the organism in Eukaryota, Metazoa, Arthropoda, Arachnida, Trombidiformes, Tetranychidae.
UAUACGUUAAAACCAGCUAAUUAUAAAACUGUUAAUAGAAGCAAUUAUUAAUUUCGAAAAAAGCGCUCAUCUGUAUGUGAUAUUAAAUUAACCGCCUUUACAUUGAGUCAAGGGUCAGCUUUAAGAUUUGGCUCCAAAUCGUUUCUUACAAUUAUUUGUUGAUUAAAGUAUAAAUUUAAUAUUUUUUUCCGUUUAAAUUAAUUAUUCUCGUCUCUGUUUUGGUAUUUUGAUUGUUUGCUAAUUAAAUUAUCUUAUAAUUGGUAACUAAGUUCAGUUCAAGUUUUUUCUCUGCUAUUUUCCAUUCUUUUGUCUUUUCUCAGCCAACUGUUUAAAUGUGUUUACAUUUUGAUUUACUCUUUUUGUGACCUUAUAACCAUAAUUAUUGUGAUUAAAAUUACCAUUGCUGUCAGUAUUAUUGAAAUCAUUAAUAGUCAUCUUCUGCCACUGCAAUGUGGCAGAAAAAAGGAAACGUGGUUCGAGUUAACACUGUGAUUAGUAUGUCUCAGGUUGAUCAGUUUAUUCAAAAGGGAAAAUGUUAAAGUUAAUGUGAAUUACUGCAUUGAAAAUGGCUCUGAUAUUUUCUGCAUUGAACGUGACUUUCCACCAAAACUUGCCAGUAUCACUGUACUGAAUGAAUGUACACAAAGACAUGGUUGGAAGCAGCAAAAAUUAUCAUUUUUCUGAUAAAAAAAGUGAAACUUCCAGAGACAUUGCUGUAUAUUACAAUUCACCUGUUCCCUUCAUUAUUAUUUCAAUCCAUUAUUAAUAUCAUUGUCUGUCCAUCCAUUGGUUUUCAUCUGUAAAGGACUUCAAUUUUACCCAGGACAGGCAGCUCAAUUAGAUUGAAAUUUAAAUUAAAUCACUUUGGAUUACUUUGAUAUCUUGGAUUACCUUUUGAAUUACCCUGGAUUGCCUGCUUAACUUGAAUUGUACGUGCAAUUGUUUUCACCUCCUCAACACUCAAAUCUCUCAAUGGUUACUAACCUUUAAUGCCCAGCCAAUGCUUUAAGUGUUAAUUAUUCAAUCGAUUGAAAGUGUCUCUCAAGUUUACAAUCAAACAAUUGGAAGACCACCAAUUUAAAGGCUGUUUUAAAUAAUUACAAUGUACUUCUAUUAACAAGCAUUUCUGUUGUCACCCUCAUCACAGUGUUGAUCCUUUUUUAAUGAACCUUUUUGAUUGACUGGUUUCAUUUAAGAUCUCAACCUCAUAAUUACCAGCAUUACAUUUCCAGCCGAUUAAAUCGUGAAAAGAUGAAACUCAAUUCAAACUAAUUAACUCACUGAAUUUAUCAUUGACUUUUCAUUUAGUCUACUUUACCUUCCUCUCUCCAUUGUUGAUCCUGAGUUGUCUGAGUAAUCGAUUUGCUGGAUAAAUGCCUUUUCUGUGUACUAGACUUUAGUUUGUUUUUUUUGUUAACCAUCAUUAAAUUGUCAUUUUGAUUGUCUCAUCUAA